Molecule: ribosomal RNA, 465 nt
Filed under: uncultured bacterium
Lineage: Bacteria
Description: partial 16S ribosomal RNA
Rfam family: Bacterial small subunit ribosomal RNA
Source: RNAcentral
CUACGGGGUGCAGCAGUGGGGAAUAUUGGACAAUGGGGGAAACCCUGAUCCAGCAAUGCCGCGUGUGUGAAGAAGGCCUGCGGGUUGUAAAGCACUUUCGGUUGGGAGGACUGCUUCUAGCACUAAUAUUGUUGGAAGUUGACGUUACCUUCAGAAGAAGCACCGGCUAGCUCCGUGCCAGCAGCCGCGGUAAUACGGAGGGUGCAAGCGUUAAUCGGAGUUACUGGGCGUAAAGCGCGCGUAGGCGGCUAGAUCAGUCGGGUGUGAAAGCCCCGGGCUUAACCUGGGAACUGCAUCCGAUACUGUCUAGCUUGAGUACAGGAGAGGAGAGUGGAAUUCCACAUGUAGCGGUGAAAUGCGUAGAUAUGUGGAGGAACACCAAUGGCGAAGGCAGCUCUCUGGCCUGAUACUGACGCUGAGGUGCGAAAGCGUGGGGAGCAAACAGGGUUAGAUACCCGAGUAGUC